AGAACGAACGCUGGCGGCAUGCCUAACACAUGCAAGUCGAACGAGACCUUCGGGUCUAGUGGCGCACGGGUGCGUAACGCGUGGGAAUCUGCCCUUGGGUACGGAAUAACAGUUAGAAAUGACUGCUAAUACCGUAUAAUGACUUCGGUCCAAAGAUUUAUCGCCCAGGGAUGAGCCCGCGUCGGAUUAGCUAGUUGGUAGGGUAAAAGCCUACCAAGGCGACGAUCCGUAGCUGGUCUGAGAGGAUGAUCAGCCACACUGGGACUGAGACACGGCCCAGACUCCUACGGGAGGCAGCAGUGGGGAAUAUUGGACAAUGGGCGAAAGCCUGAUCCAGCAAUGCCGCGUGAGUGAUGAAGGCCUUAGGGUUGUAAAGCUCGUUUACCCGGGAUGAUAAUGACAGUACCGGAGAAGUACGGCCCGCUAACUCCGUGCCAGCAGCCGC
Molecule: ribosomal RNA, 445 nt
Filed under: uncultured soil bacterium
Lineage: Bacteria
Description: bacterial SSU rRNA
Rfam family: Bacterial small subunit ribosomal RNA
Source: RNAcentral